ACGCUCGACACCUACGGAGGCAGCAGUGGGGAAUAUUGCACAAUGGGGGAAACCCUGAUGCAGCAACGCCGCGUGAAGGAAGACGGUUUUCGGAUUGUAAACUUCUGUUCUUAGUGAAGAUAGUGACGGUAGCUAAGGAGCAAGCCACGGCUAACUACGUGUCAGCAGCCGCGGUAAUCUGAGCGGGCUGGCAAGGC
RNAcentral lists this ribosomal RNA (197 nucleotides) under uncultured bacterium. RNAcentral's name for it is "partial 16S ribosomal RNA". It matches the Rfam family "Bacterial small subunit ribosomal RNA", at positions 328 to 539 of the family's 1533-position model. The record is from RNAcentral.